RNAcentral lists this ribosomal RNA (439 nucleotides) under uncultured bacterium. RNAcentral describes it as "partial 16S ribosomal RNA". It matches the Rfam family "Bacterial small subunit ribosomal RNA", at positions 339 to 795 of the family's 1533-position model. The record is from RNAcentral.
CUACGGGAGGCUCCAGCGAGGAAUAUUGCACAAUGGGGGGAACCCUGAUGCAGCAACGCCGCGUGGAGGAUGACGCAUUUCGGUGUGUAAACUCCUUUUAUAUGUCAAGAAAAUGACGGUAGCAUAUGAAUAAGCACCGGCUAACUCCGUGCCAGCAGCCGCGGUAAUACGGAGGGUGCAAGCGUUACUCGGAAUCACUGGGCGUAAAGGACGCGUAGGCGGGUUGGAAAGUCAGGUGUGAAAUCCUACAGCUUAACUGUAGAACUGCACUUGAAACUUCUAAUCUAGAGUAUGGGAGGGGGAGAUGGAAUUAGUAGUGUAGGGGUAAAAUCCGUAGAUAUCACUAGGAAUACCUAAAGCGAAGGCGAUCUCCUGGAACAUUACUGACGCUAAGGCGUGAAAGCGUGGGGAGCAAACAGGAUUAGAUACCCUUGUAGUC